This is a small nuclear RNA of Aotus nancymaae (Ma's night monkey), 107 nucleotides long. Lineage: Eukaryota; Metazoa; Chordata; Mammalia; Primates; Aotidae. The record is from Ensembl.
GUGCUUCCUUUGGUAGCACAUAUACUAAAAUUAGAAUGAUACAGAGAUGAGUAGCAUGGCCCUUGUGCAAGGAUGACAUGGAAAUCUAUGAAGCAUUCCAUAUUUUA